CGACUUAUAAUGUCUUCAGAAUAAUAUUUUACUGAUACGAAGAUAUUCCGAGAAAACUUCGCGAUGAAGAAACGUCAAUCUUCAAAAACGUCGAGCUUCUAAACCGUCGUGCUUCAAAAAUGUAAUUCUUCCAAAACUGCGGUAUGAUCAAUCUAAGACAUUUCUAACAAUGGUAGAGCAGCUUAUCUCAACUCAUGCUUCACUCACGAUCCAUUCUUCGAACUUCUCGUACUUCAAAUUUCCCGAUCGAUCUGUAUUGCCUGCGACUCAACCACAAAGAUACUCGACCAUUCUCUCUCUCUUUUCUUUUCUUCUUUUUUUUUUUUAACGGGUUUCUACAUCGACCCCCCUUAAUAGAAUUCGUCCUCGAAUUCUUAGUUGCGCAAUUGCUCGUCAUCACAACAUUCUCCACUCGUCUCCAUAACCUCUUUACUCUGUCCACAACUGUUCCUUGAGUGUCCUCUUCAAGGUCUCCACAAUCAUCUUCAUAUCUCAUCGCUGGAAUGAUCACUGAGUCAUCCUCUUUCUUUUACUCUUCCAUAACACCCUCAUUGCCCAUGACACUAUCUUGUCCAGAUUCCUCAAAUCCUUUCUUGAUCUUCGUCUUCCCAAAUACUGAUGAAGUCCUUCCCCAACGAAGUCUUGUUUCCUCCCAUCUGUCCAGUCCAUACCACUGUCCAGUUCGCUGAAUCUGCCUCCACUCUUUCGCUUUGGGUUUGGGUUUGGCCUCAAACUCCCU
RNAcentral lists this long non-coding RNA (739 nucleotides) under Brassica rapa (field mustard). Its description in RNAcentral is "long non-coding RNA (BRAP_LNC004982)". The record is from RNAcentral. Lineage: Eukaryota; Viridiplantae; Streptophyta; Magnoliopsida; Brassicales; Brassicaceae.